GGACAUUCCAGAUCUCAUUAUCUCAGUCAGCUCCAGGUGUAAAUGAAUCUGCUCAAGUUUCUGAUGACCUCAGGACUAAAGAGACCAAGUUGCAGGAAGAUGUCAGCUGGGCCUGCAAACAUCUGAUGACUUGACCAGCCUGGAUGUCCAAGAUGGCUCACAUGCAUGGUUUAGAGCUGAUGCUGCUGUUGGCUGUGAGCUCAGCUGGGCUGUCUUCAGUGUCUACAUGUGGGCUUUCCAGCACAGCGCUCUCAGGACACUUGGCCUUCUUCCAUGCUGCUGGUCUACCCUGGAGCUAAUAUCCCAAAAGAACCAGGCAAGAGCUGUCUGAUCAUUUCUGACCCAGUUUUGAAAGUUAAAAACAGUGUCACAUCUGCUGCAUUCUAUUGGUUAUAAGGUGCUCACUAAGUCAUCCCGGAUUCAUGGGUAGGAGACGUAGAUAUCACCCCUCCAUGAGAUGGGUGACAAACAAUUUGCAGUUUACCUUUGGGAUAGCCAUGAGAAUCACUUUAAGUUGGGUUUUGGGGUGAGAGGGAGCAUUGAGAACAUGACCAGUUGGACAUGAAGGUACCCCGGCUGUGGUGAAGAUGGAUUGAGUGGUGAUGCACAGGGCUACUAUAUGCCAUGUCAAGUCAUAUUAUAUGACUAUCUAAUAAAGGCCAUGAAGAAGCCCAAAAGUGUUGCCUCUUAUUUGCAGGAUCAAGACACCCAAGUAGGUUCACACAUUCCAGGGCCAUCAAAU
Long non-coding RNA from Callithrix jacchus (white-tufted-ear marmoset), 742 nucleotides. RefSeq lists it as uncharacterized. The record is from RefSeq and is a predicted model, not a curated record. NCBI's taxonomy places the organism in Eukaryota, Metazoa, Chordata, Mammalia, Primates, Cebidae.